ACGUGAGAAUUUGCCUUUAGGAGGGGGACAACAAUUGGAAACGAUUGCUAAUACCCCAUAUGCUUGAGAGUGAAAUAGAUUUAUCUGCCUAAAGAAAAGCUCGCGGCUGAUUAGCUAGUUGGUAAGGUAAUGGCUUACCAAGGCGACGAUCAGUAUCUGGUUUGAGAGGACGAUCAGACACACUGGAACUGAGACACGGUCCAGACUCCUACGGGAGGCAGCAGUGGGGAAUUUUCCGCAAUGGGCGAAAGGUUGACGGAGCAAUACCGCGUGAGGGAAGACGGCCUAUGGGUUGUAAACCUCUUUUUUCAGGGAGGAAUCAAUGACGUGUACCUGAAGAAUA
Molecule: ribosomal RNA, 343 nt
Filed under: uncultured bacterium
Lineage: Bacteria
Description: bacterial SSU rRNA
Rfam family: Bacterial small subunit ribosomal RNA
Source: RNAcentral